Molecule: long non-coding RNA, 1306 nt
Organism: Oreochromis aureus
Lineage: Eukaryota; Metazoa; Chordata; Actinopteri; Cichliformes; Cichlidae
Exons: 2
Source: RefSeq, a predicted model, not a curated record
UCUAAAAGCUGCAGGGCAGUAGCUCUCGAGGACUGGGAUUGGGCACCCCUGUUUUAGAGAAAGGCAAAAGACAGUGAGGUGCUGAUUUGCUUUAUUCUUUUUAGUUUGGGAAAUAUGCAUCUAUGUGUAAUCACGCGUUGGGUGAGCCGUUCAUUCCUGGGAAUUGAAACAUGUGGGACAUACUGCCAACUGAUGCAAAGGUGUUGAAGGUCAGUUCAAAGGAGAACAGAGUCCAUGUGAGCUCCUCAGUUUUAUUGUCUGAGAUUUCCUUCUCCACGGCCAACCGCUGAUAUUCUGCUGUGAGGUCACGGAGGUUUGCUGCCUGUACGUUCAUUAACAAACUCACUGUGAAUGAGAGAAGACAGCACAGCGCUCAUCAUCACAGCCGACCAACGAGUGUUAACAUCCAGUCCUAACAGAGAAGCCUUCUCUUCCUUUCUUCAUUGUGGGACGAAGCUGAAGACACCAAACACACUAAAACAUGGAUGUAUAGUAAAAUGUUGUUUGUUUGUUUUUAAACCACCAGUAGAUGGUAAUAAAUAGUAAAGAGGAAAAUUAGCAUCACAUUAAAAUCGGCACUCGAGGUACAAAAAGCUUUAGUUACAAUUAAUAAAAUGCAGUUUUGUAUUUUAGUGGGAAAGAGACAUUAAAAAAAAAUAUGGUUCAGGUUAUAUGGGGAAAAAAUUAAUUCUGUUUUUUUAAGCUACCAUUGUAAACAGCUUUGGAGGUUUUUCCACAUACAAUGAAUAUGUAAUGAGUACUUUUAACUAACUCAUCCACAAAUGUAACGGAGUUAAAAAGACAUCUGAAAAACAUGCACUUACCUGGUCUUAAUUAUUAUUUUAAGUGUGAAUUUUAUCAUUUUUGAUCUCACUCUAGCGUUUAGAAGCUUCCGCUCCUCACAGCGCGCGCUUGCACUGUGAGGGUCAGUUCCUUAAUGAAAGGCUCUGGCAUUUUUAUGGUUUCUGGUGUGAAUGUUGUUACAUAAGUUGUACAUGUCGAUGUAUAUAGGUUUAUAUUGAUGUUAGGAUGUUACUGUGUAACCGAAACAAAGGCUGGUUGCUGUUAAACAGUGUUUCUGCCGUAUUUAGUGGUUGCUGCGCAUAGCAGGAAAUGUGUUUGGAUUUACUGUUUUUCUGUGCUUUUUGUGAUGUUGUUUUACAUUGUAGGAGCUACAAUUGCUGGUACCAUCAGAAGACACCUGUUGAGUGUGUUUUAUGUCUUCUGCAGGUACGUGAGCUUGUUAACAGUCAUCUUGUCUGUAAAGCACAAGCAAGUGAAAAUGUAAUGCGCUACCGUUAAUUUG